UACGUAGGGGCCGAGCGUUGUCCGGAGUUACUGGGCGUAAAGCGCGCGCAGGCGGCCCGCCAAGCAUGGCGUGAAAGCCCCCGGCUCAACCGGGGAGGGUCGCCGUGGACUGGCGGGCUUGAGGGCGGCAGGGGUCGGUGGAAUGCCCGGUGUAGUGGUGAAAUGCGUAGAGAUCGGGCGGAACACCCGUGGCGAAGGCGGCCGACUGGGCCGGCCCUGACGCUGAGGCGCGAAGGCGUGGGGAGCGAACGGGAUUAGAAACCCCAGUAGUCC
This 273-nucleotide ribosomal RNA is filed under the name uncultured bacterium. RNAcentral describes it as "partial 16S ribosomal RNA". It matches the Rfam family "Bacterial small subunit ribosomal RNA", at positions 524 to 796 of the family's 1533-position model. The record is from RNAcentral.